GUCUCCUCUGAUGAAGCAAGCUGCUGUGGUGUGAGCUGCCCUCUGGAGAAACUCACAUAGCAAGGAACAGGGAGUGACUGCCAGCCAACAACCAGAGAGGAACCGAGGCCCUCAUCCAACAGCCUGUGAGGAACUGACUCCUACCAACAGCCACUGGUCUCUUUUAGGUUUGACUGUUUCCCUGUCUCUGAAAAACUAGCCAGUGUCAUAUUCGCUGCUGUAAUGAACAGCAAAGUAUGUGUCCAGGCUCUGUGCUGCAGUGAGUAAAGCCAGCUGUUAGUACUCUUCAGGUAUGAGCUUUAUAUAAUGAAAAGAUAACAGAUAUUAUUACUUUCUAAUUGUGGAGAAGUUAAGGACGUUGCCAAAAGUCACUCAGCUAGUGACAGUACAUCUGGGAUUUUAACAGCGAUGUUUGUCUCUGAGGCUUCUACCCUUUUCUAUCAAAUGCUUGCACAGUUCCGUCCAUUGUUAUACAAGUAGCCAAUAUUGCUAAAACGAUGAACAUAGCAAGAUGUUAUCAUCCUAAUGAUCAUUUAAAGCUACAAAACGGAGUUAAAUGCGGGUUGCACCCUUCACAAGUGCUUUCUACUUCUACCUGCCACUCACUUUCAGCCGAGUGAAACUGAUCACAUCCUAGACUCUUUACUCAAUCUUGUACAUUCUGUCACCAUAGCCCCUGUAACAAGUAAUUGUGCUUCUUUAAAGAGUCUUCCUCUUGUGAAACUAUUACUAGCCCCUUGACAUAAGGGACAAUGACAUUCUUGUUAGGUGGUAGGUGUAUAGGGGUUUAUUUCAUUAUGCUUCACAACUCAUAUAUAUAUAGACAUAUAAAUACUUUAAUGUAUAUUAAAUGUCAUGCAAUACAUUAAAAACAAAA
Molecule: long non-coding RNA, 877 nt
Organism: Sapajus apella (tufted capuchin)
Lineage: Eukaryota; Metazoa; Chordata; Mammalia; Primates; Cebidae
Exons: 2
Source: RefSeq, a predicted model, not a curated record